UGCAGUCGAGCGGACCGACGGGAGCUUGCUCCCUUAGGUCAGCGGCGGACGGGUGAGUAACACGUGGGUAACCUGCCUGUAAGACUGGGAUAACUCCGGGAAACCGGGGCUAAUACCGGAUGCUUGAUUGAACCGCAUGGUUCAAUCAUAAAAGGUGGCUUUUAGCUACCACUUGCAGAUGGACCCGCGGCGCAUUAGCUAGUUGGUGAGGUAACGGCUCACCAAGGCGACGAUGCGUAGCCGACCUGAGAGGGUGAUCGGCCACACUGGGACUGAGACACGGCCCAGACUCCUACGGGAGGCAGCAGUAGGGAAUCUUCCGCAAUGGACGAAAGUCUGACGGAGCAACGCCGCGUGAGUGAUGAAGGUUUUCGGAUCGUAAAACUCUGUUGUUAGGGAAGAACAAGUACCGUUCGAAUAGGGCGGUACCUUGACGGUACCUAACCAGAAAGCCACGGCUAACUACGUGCCAGCAGCCGCGGUAAUACGUAGGUGGCAAGCGUUGUCCGGAAUUAUUGGGCGUAAAGCGCGCGCAGGCGGUUUCUUAAGUCUGAUGUGAAAGCCCCCGGCUCAACCGGGGAGGGUCAUUGGAAACUGGGGAACUUGAGUGCAGAAGAGGAGAGUGGAAUUCCACGUGUAGCGGUGAAAUGCGUAGAGAUGUGGAGGAACACCAGUGGCGAAGGCGACUCUCUGGUCUGUAACUGACGCUGAGGCGCGAAAGCGUGGGGAGCGAACAGGAUUAGAUACCCUGGUAGUCCACGCCGUAAACGAUGAGUGCUAAGUGUUAGAGGGUUUCCGCCCUUUAGUGCUGCAGCAAACGCAUUAAGCACUCCGCCUGGGGAGUACGGUCGCAAGACUGAAACUCAAAGGAAUUGACGGGGGCCCGCACAAGCGGUGGAGCAUGUGGUUUAAUUCGAAGCAACGCGAAG
RNAcentral lists this ribosomal RNA (929 nucleotides) under Paraburkholderia terricola. Its description in RNAcentral is "bacterial SSU rRNA". It matches the Rfam family "Bacterial small subunit ribosomal RNA", at positions 56 to 966 of the family's 1533-position model. The record is from RNAcentral. Lineage: Bacteria; Pseudomonadati; Pseudomonadota; Betaproteobacteria; Burkholderiales; Burkholderiaceae.